This is a long non-coding RNA of Petromyzon marinus (sea lamprey), 1820 nucleotides long. RefSeq lists it as uncharacterized. NCBI's taxonomy places the organism in Eukaryota, Metazoa, Chordata, Hyperoartia, Petromyzontiformes, Petromyzontidae. The record is from RefSeq and is a predicted model, not a curated record.
ACGGAGCUACCACGUUAUAGGAGCACAGACCGUACUUAAUCUAAAAAAAUAUUGCCCGGCCAUGUCUAAAUUAAGUUACGUGUAUUUUAUGGUAUUUUUUAGGGCCCUGGCACAGACAGCCCAGCAAGGCAUUUGGAGUCAUUAAAAAUAACGUGGAGUUUACGCGAGUUCACGGAUGUCAAGGCGCAGCGUGCGGUCUGUGGACAUCGGGCGGUAGAGGGAGGUGUGCGCUCGGCAGACGGAAUUGCUGGGAGCUGCACCGUUCGUUACUCGCAUGCAACGACAAGACCAGAGUUCCACGGUUCAAGAAGCCUUCAAGCAAUAAGGAGGUUCCAACGCCUGGCGAGAGAGCGCCGCGGAUGGACAACCACGCACGCCGCAGCGAGCCAGGCACUCACACCAGCGCCUAGUGGGGUACAAGUACGAAACUCCGCUACAUGACACAAUCACCGGAGGGUCAGCCUGAAGCCCCGUGCAAAACACAAAUACACAAUCUCCAUCUUCAGUGAACCAAGUCAUUCGUCCACUCUGCUACAGGUAACUAGUAACGUGUAUAACAUCUGCACGCGUGUAUGUAAUGACGUAAAAAGAUGCCUGAAAUCACUCUUGGGAUAAGUGUUAGCGAGUAGCAGAUAUCAGGGCCGGGAUGGUAUACAAGGGGGUGGGUGGCCAGCACCACAAUUGCCAAAAGCCGCUGCUGUGAGGUUCUGGCAUCAUCAUCAUCAUCAAAGACAAGGAUCCCCUGUGUAGCCUCAAUAGACUGUUGGGGCAGGUGCUGUCUCUGCGGCCAGCACGAGGGACCCGCGAGCAGCGCUCGUCAGCGUGAGCCACAGAGGCAGCGCCAACUCAGACCCAUGGCUGACCGCGCUCCGGUGGCCUGGAUUGGAACUUCGGGAAAAGUUGAGUCCUCGGGGUCGGAGUGGUGGUGCGGCGGUCGGCGCGCCCGCGCCCUGCCAACCCGUGACCUGAGUUUGACUCCCGGCCACGGCCAACAUCAGUGGCAAGUGACGUCUCAAAAUGCCAGGGUGCGUAUCCCGGUCCGGAGGAUACCGUCAAUUGAAUUCAGUGAAGGCUCAGCACCGGCGAAGCGUUGAUUUGAAGCGAACGAGAAGCGCUUUGACAACGUAGCGCGAGCGUUCAGCGUGCCGUGCGUGGGUUUCGGAGAGAGCGACGGGGGGAGCCGAGAACGCCGUCGCGAGCGGUAAAUCACCGAUACGGCAAUGGAGACGAAUGGAGAGCCUCCAAACGCCUCGAGUGUUUUCCAUUGAGAAGAGGCAAAAAAAAAACGGAACCCGCAUUCAAUGCAUUAAUGGCACGUUAAAAUAGAACGACGUUGUUAUGAAUAUCAAUGUUUCUAUCGCACGAAAUCGAGAGAAACAGGCGCAAAAACGCUGCUCCGGUAACGACCCGCAAGGGAACCCGUGUUGAACCAUCGCUACAGCAGAGAGCCAUCCCCUGUCGGAUUAUAUCGGGGGGGAGGGGGGGUAACUCAAUAAUCAUCAUUCACAAAAAGGGGUUAACAGGAGGCUAAAGAGGCGGUAACUAGUGCCGUAAAUAAGACUUACCGUGGUACUUGCCGCGGUACUUACCGUGGUACUUGCCGCAGUACUUACUGUGGUACUUGCCGCGGUACUUACCGUGGUACUUGCCGUGGUACUUCCAGCAGUUCUUACUGCUGAGCCUCUACAACGCCACGGCUCCAGGCGUGAGCAAGCGCAGUUUACAAGCCGGCCUGGCAUCUUCAUGUGACGCACGACACGAGCGGCGUGCUCGACGCACGACACAUGACGCACGACACAUGACGCACGACACAUGACGCA